UACGUAGGGGGCAAGCGUUGUCCGGAUUUAUUGGGCGUAAAAGGCUUGUAGGUGGCCACGCCAAGUCGGUUGUGAAAUCUCCCGGCUCAACUGGGAGGGGUCAUUCGAUACUGGCGGGCUCGAGGCCGGUAGGGGGAAGUGGAAUUCCCGGUGUAGUGGUGGAAUGCGUAGAUAUCGGGAGGAGCACCGGUGGCGAAGGCGGUUCUCUGGGCCUGACCUGACGCUGAGGAGCGAAAGCGUGGGGAGCGAACAGG
Molecule: ribosomal RNA, 254 nt
Filed under: uncultured bacterium
Lineage: Bacteria
Description: partial 16S ribosomal RNA
Rfam family: Bacterial small subunit ribosomal RNA
Source: RNAcentral